UGGGGAAUAUUGCACAAUGGGCGCAAGCCUGAUGCAGCGACGCCGCGUGAGGGAUGGAGGCCUUCGGGUUGUAAACCUCUUUCGCCAGUGAAGCAGGCCAUCUUCUUUGUGGGGUGGUUGACGGUAGCUGGAUAAGAAGCGCCGGCUAACUACGUGCCAGCAGCCGCGGUAAUACGUAGGGCGCGAGCGUUGUCCGGAAUUAUUGGGCGUAAAGAGCUCGUAGGCGGCUGGUCGCGGCUGUCGUGAAAUCCCCUGGCUUAACUGGGGGCUUGCGGUGGGUACGGGCCGGCUUGAGUGCGGUAGGGGAGACUGGAAUUCCUGGUGUAGCGGUGGAAUGCGCAGAUAUCAGGAGGAACACCGGUGGCGAAGGCGGGUCUCUGGGCCGUGACUGACGCUGAGGAGCGAAAGCGUGGGGAGCGAACAGG
Molecule: ribosomal RNA, 425 nt
Filed under: bacterium
Lineage: Bacteria
Description: partial 16S ribosomal RNA
Rfam family: Bacterial small subunit ribosomal RNA
Source: RNAcentral